Long non-coding RNA from Sapajus apella (tufted capuchin), 1485 nucleotides. RefSeq lists it as uncharacterized. NCBI's taxonomy places the organism in Eukaryota, Metazoa, Chordata, Mammalia, Primates, Cebidae. The record is from RefSeq and is a predicted model, not a curated record. The transcript has 2 exons.
UUAAUUCUUUAGCCACAUAAUUAAGGUUACAAGAUGGGUUACGUAGUAUAUUGAAAAAGGUUGAUGUGAAAUUUGAAAAAGUCCUUUGCUGACAGGUUUGCUGACAGGUUUAUUUUUUUCUCUUUCUACCUAUAGGCACAGGGAAAGUUCCCAAGUUUUGAAUUUGGGAUAGUGUAGUUAGUCUCAUUUGAGUGUUGAGGACAUUUCGAUACGAAAGAAUUUUAAAUCAUAAAGAGUUUUAAAUGUAGAAUAUAAUGAAAAGCCUGUGUUUUUUCGGCCUGCUACAUGCCUAAAUAGCCAUGAAUUGGAAAUUUUACAAUGCCAGUUUCACAUAAAAAUUCUCUUCCCUUCUCCUUUUUCUUUUAUUAGCUGUAAGCAUUCAGACGAAAACCUCCUCACUUAUAUUGGAGCCCCUAUGUAAACUCCUGGAGAAUAUACAGAUAAGUUGAAUGUGACUUACACUUAUUCUGUGAGAUUGAAGUAAGUGCUUCGUGCCAUUAUCUUAAUCUUUUUAUAAAUAUCAUGUACUUAAUAUUAAAGCCUAAAUUUUCCUUGAGAUAAAGGUGUAUAACACAGCUAAGAACCCAAGAAAACAUGUAAAUUCUUCCUGUUCCAACAAUUUAAUGGACAGUCAGUACAGGAAUUACUAUAUUAAAUCUACUACAUUUCGGAUACUGUGCCAGCUAUUUCGCUUUCUCUUCAUGUUAAAGGUUUGAGGUUUGAAACAGGUACAUGGGGAACUGGAGGGGCAUCUUCUGGGGUUGGCAGGCUGGCUGGCUGCUCACGUGGGACCUUAAAGGAAGAAUAUCACAUGGGAGAGACACAGUAUAGUGUAGACAAAAGAACACAGACAAUGGCAGACUGAUCUGUGAUUCAAAUUGUGCCUUUGCCACUUACUAGCUGCAUGAGCUUAGGUAUUUUUUCGUGAGGUAUUUCAAAUAUCUUUUGGAAAAAUGCACCUCAGAAGGCACAGUAAUCUUGCUCUUGCUCAUUUUGAUGGUCACAACCUCUCCAAGCAAGACUCUCAGCUUUUCUGUUCACUUUGAUCCUUUCUUGCAAAAAUUGCUCAAAAUUGGCAGCACCAUGAUUCCAUCUUCUACGGAGUGGGUGCAAUCAAGAGUGAACUUUAGAAACUGCUUCUUUUUUUUGGUCUCCCUUCGCCACAAGCUUUAUGGGCACCAUGGUGGCAGAAGAGGCAGAAAGGAAGGUGAGUGAACUAUGCAGGCUGGAAAAAUGCUUCUUUUGUGUUAAAAAAAUUUUUUUUAAUGGCGCACAUCAACAUUUCCCCAAGUGCAUUGUGUAGAACACUAGUCUAGUCAAAUAAGUUUGGAAAAUGUUACUUUCUACUGCCUCCUUUCUCAGCUUUACAAAGCACAUUAGUGAAGUGUAAAAGUCUCCUAAUCUCAUUCGUAAUAAAGAAAUGUCUGAGUCUAACUCGGCACUUUACAAAUGUAUUAGACUCUGGAGCACUCUUUCUUUCUUUCU